Molecule: long non-coding RNA, 767 nt
Organism: Scophthalmus maximus (turbot)
Lineage: Eukaryota; Metazoa; Chordata; Actinopteri; Pleuronectiformes; Scophthalmidae
Exons: 2
Source: RefSeq, a predicted model, not a curated record
AAAAAGUGCUUUCUGAAACCAUAAGCAGCUGUCUUAUCAUAUGAUUGCCCUUUCGUAUGUCAAACACCUGAAUCACAGGGCACGCACGGCUUUUUCCUUCACACCCGGAGGAAGUCGACCAGAAGCAAGAGGAUGUGUUACUCAGAGAACAACUGCCCACGACGACGCGUAGAGAUGUGAGACGUGAGCAAUAACAAGGCAGCAUGGAAGAUGCUGGAAUAUGGAGCCUCACGCUGUGUUGCCUGUGUGGCUUGCUCAAGUGCCACUGCUUUAAUGCGGGGAGCGCUUCCAUCUGACGAAAUGGGCAAAGUGUCCUCAGAUCUUCAGAGGCACCGGUAGAUCAGAGGGCGGCUGUCACACCUCCAGGCGAUCUUCAGCCGCACUGAGCUGCUGACCCCCCUGAGACACAGCAGGUCUGCCCAGGAAGCUGCGCCAUUGUGAGAGAUUUCAAAGAGAGGAGCUGCUGCUCCAUUGAUUUUGGUUGCCCCAUCUCUAAACCAUAUCAGUGAGGUGAUGUUGUGAAAUUCUAGUGGGUCUUUAAUGUCUGCUAAUCCGAGAUAAUUGAUUUGACUGAUAAAGGAUUUUUGGGGAAGUUGCUAACUAGGUCAGAGCUGCAUAGGAGAAGGACUACCGAGUUCCAAGCAAACUAAAAUUUAAAAUUCUCUUUCAAUGAGGGGCAUAUUCAGUCUUUAAUAAUACCAUAAUAACAACCGUGUAGUUAGUAUGUCAAGAUGAUAAUAAAAAAGGCUAAACAGCAUUGGAAGAUU